CUUCCGAUCUGGCCAGUCCGUCCAUCUGAACCAGCAGCUCGGUCUUCAUCCUGCGACUUCCCUCAUGCUCCCCUCUGAGAACAUACACGAGCCUGCUGUUAUUUCAUUAAGCUCGUCCAGGAAGAUGGUGGAUGGGGCGUGGUACCUGGCCAGCUCAAACAGAACCUGCCGACGUAUGGACACAUACAAUUACCAAAAUACAAAAAGAACUGUGACCUGGAAACCGUUUUUCUUCUUCUUAAUUGUUGCAGUCAUCAGUGCGUGUGGAAGAACAACCUACCCUGACCAGUUUCUCAGAAUCUCCUCUCCACUUGCUGACGAUGCUGGAGGCUGAAAUGUUGAAGAAGGUCGUCUUACACUCCGUAGCCACGGCCUUGGCCAACAGCGUCUUACCUGUACCUGUGUGCACAUGGUCACAUGGUCAAAGGAAGAACAUGUCGGCGGGAAGAAUUCCAAAUAGUAGCACUUUUGGACCAGAAGUUAUUUAACUGAUGAAUAGCAAUCAGUAAAACCUGCAGGUCUCACCUGGGGGGCCAUAAAGCAGCAGGCCUUUCCACGGAGACAGGAUGCCUGUAAACAGUUGGGGGUACUGCAAUGACAGAGGGAUGGAAUAUGAAAACUAAAGUACAGACCAACAUUUAGAAAGUAGCACAAUUCGAUAUGAAAAUAUGUUACAGCUGCAUACGUUUCUAUUUCGUACACACCUGUACGACGCUGCGCUGUGUGCAAAGGAAGCGGACUAUCUUGAUUUAUAGCAGAGUCGGUGCUGCAAAUACCACAUGCUACAAAUGAACCCGAAUUUUAUGUGGCAAACGAGUCCGAGUGCAAUCACCAAACUGACCUUAUACCACAGAGAAUGAAUAAUAAUAAUAAUAAUAAUAGACACAGAAGUUGGGGAUUGUGGGGAAGGCGGAUGUGCGGUGGUGUUCAAUAAAACAGUCCAGCAGAACAGGACAGACGCAUCAGUCCUCAUCUCCGUCUGUAAAUGUCAAGAGGAUGCAGACAACCUGAUUUGUUGUCAUCAUAUCCGCGAGAGAGAGGUCUGGGUAACGAUGACAGAAGCGUGUGCAUGUAUUUUCCCCGUGUGUGUAAUAUGUUUUAUUUGUAUUGGCAAUUUCUAUAUGAAGUGGCAAAGUUGUACAAAUGUGUUUUUGUUUAUACAUGGCAGAAUUUGUGCGUGUGUGUUUGUUUUCCCUGCCUAUCUAUCCAUCUAUGUAUGUGUGUGUGUUACCAUAUUAUCCCAGAUAUAGAUUUAACGUCACCCUAACAGACUGGCCUGACCCCACUACCCUCCUCCUCAUAAAGGAGAUGUAUUCAGAAUCGAAGACGGGCGACCGCAGCUGAAAUACCAGCAUGCCCGGCCAGCGGCUGCACCUUAAUGGGAUAGACGACGGCCUCCUUGACUAAUCGCUUCGCGUCCUCCAGGCCGAUGAUGUCCUCCCAUCGCACGUUGGGGCUGUGCAAAUAGAUGUCCUAUAGGGGUGAUUACACACACACACACACACACACACACACACACACACACACACACACACUCGAUUAGGCUUGUAAAAAUGUGUAUCCUUUAGCCUGAAACAUCAGGGAAUAGUCAGAAACAAGGCCUCCACUAAUACAGAUCAUCCAUUCACUCACUACAAAGCUCUCAGGUGCUCCCUGUUGGACAUAAUUGGUAUCACUUAAAGGAUAUCUUUAUAAAUAUGUGCCUUGAGUUGGGAUAAAAUCAGCCUAUCCAUGUUUGGAGUAUGUAUGUUUCUGGUUUGUCAGCACUUGGGUGUGGGUGUGGGUGUGGGUGUGUGUGUGUGUGUGCGUGUGCGUGUACAGUAGUACCCUGCUGAUGAUCGUGGCCAGUUCCCUCAUGUCACCGCUCAUUCCAGAAAAGCCACUGAGGGGUUUCAGCAGCCGUUCCUGCAACAAAUCAUAAAAUCAUUGUUAUUGGGCGUAGUGUGUUUCUAUUAGUAGUUUCACUGUUGUCUGAUUCGAUUGUUAUCAUUGAUUGUUUUCUUAUGUAGCGGAUGUAAUAUAAAAGGUAAUUAAUGUUAAGAUAAAUUCAUGUUUUUGCAUUUUGAACAGAAUAUAAUUACCAUGUGGUCCAUGGCAGCUCCUUUGCCGUCAAUAACAUGGCCCUGAGACAGGCAGUAAAAGAUGUUGACUCAGAAGAAAACAGUGCGAUAAAAACAACAUGAAAGUGGUGGUUUAGUUUUAAUUUUUUUUAUGAAAGCGUAUUUUCAUAUUUAUCAGUUUGUGUGUGCUUUGUACAUGCAACUCUUACAUUGCGUUAAAUGGCUAUUCUAAUGAGGAACUUUUUUUUUGUGUAAUGUGGCGUAGUCACUAAUGUUUGGGUUUUUUCAUGAAUUAAAGACUGAACUCAAUUGAAAGAAAGAAGAAAGAAAGAAAAAUAAUCCUUUAUAUCACAGACGUGAGGGAAUAUUCAUUUGGAUGAUGGGAUUUGCUGUUCAACCAUAUUACAACUGAAUGAAGGUUGUUAAUGCCUAAAAUCUAAAUAAAUGAAUGAAUGAUCCCUUCA
Gasterosteus aculeatus aculeatus (three-spined stickleback) is the source of this 2524-nucleotide long non-coding RNA. RefSeq lists it as uncharacterized. The record is from RefSeq and is a predicted model, not a curated record. Lineage: Eukaryota; Metazoa; Chordata; Actinopteri; Perciformes; Gasterosteidae.